GACGAACGCUGGCGGCGUGCUUAACACAUGCAAGUCGAACGGAAAGGCCCUGCUUUCAGGGUUCUCGAGUGGCGAACGGUUGAUUAACCCGUGGGUGCUCUGCCCUUCACUUCGGGCUAAUCCUUGUAAACUUUGUCUACUACCUUCUAGUCUCCAUUUUUAGCUUUAUGGUUGGAAAGUUUUUUCGUUGUAGUAUGCGCUCGCGUCCUAUCCUCUUGUUGGUGGGGUAAUGGCCUACCAAGGCGGCGACUGGUAGCCGGACUGAGAGGGUGGAAGGCCACAUUGGGACUGAGAGAGGGCCCAGACGCCUACGGGAGGCAGAAGUGGGAAAGAGUGAACAAUAGGCGCAAGCUUGAUGCAGCGAGGCUGCGUGGGGGAUGACGGCGUUCGGGAUGUAAACGCCGUUAGUUAGAGACGAUGCAAUAUGUGACGGUACCUAGAUAAGAAGCACCGGCUAAAUACGUG
RNAcentral lists this ribosomal RNA (465 nucleotides) under uncultured bacterium. RNAcentral's name for it is "partial 16S ribosomal RNA". It matches the Rfam family "Bacterial small subunit ribosomal RNA", at positions 28 to 507 of the family's 1533-position model. The record is from RNAcentral.